GUACUUACAGUAGCCUACAGUUGGGUAAUCUGUCAAAAACCUGUAUUAUAAUAAAGUAUUGAAUGUUUCAUGUAAUUUAUUGAAUACUGUUCUGAAAGUGAAAAACAGAGUGGUUGUAUGGGUACUACAGUUUCCACUGAAUGUGUAUUGCUUUUGCAUCACUGUAAAGUUGAAAACUCGUUAAGUUGAACCAUUGUAAGUCGGAGACCAUCUGUAAAAUCUCCUUUUAUUGCUGUGUCGUCGUCUUAUAAGGACACCAGUAAUUGGAUUUUGUGUCAAUCCUAAUUCAGUAUGACUUUAUUUUAACAUAAUUACAUCUGCAAAUACCCUAUUUCCAAAUAAGGUCACAUUCAGAGGUUUUGGAUGGAAAUGAAUUUUUUGGGGGGGGUCCUUGUUGAACCCGCUAUACUAUUUACCAUAUUCUUGUAAACAAGAUGGAAAAAUAUGAGCUGAAUGAAAAGCUUUACCAAAAGUUUUGACUGAUGGAUGUGUGUAGGUUUUCUUUUAGUGAAAUUUUGAAGAGCCUUUGGACCACUAUUAUACAUGUUUCAUCUAUGACUUGGAUGUGGAGAAAUAAUUUGUAUGGCAGAAAGUAAGAAAACCCCUUUAGAGUCCUGACUCAACCACUUACUGGCUAUGUGGCUUGAGCAAGACACACAUCCAUGUUUCAGACUAGGUAAUUCUAAAUCUCUGGGUUCAAAUACCAAGUGAUUCUGACUUAGAUGUAACACACUUCCUUUUAACUACAUAGUUGAAUUAAUAAACAGGAUAAGUUGUGAGGGGCCAAAAAUGAAGAGGAAAGUGCAUAGAGGUUUAACAUGUGAACCUAGGAGGCCAAGAUAUGAAUGACUGGGGAUUGAGUGAAACAGGCAUCAGGCUUGGUAACUGGAGGGCUUGGAGACACAAGAUGAGGUACUGUGAGGCAGAGCAUUGGAACUGAGUCCUCUCCCUAGCUACACACAUCUCAGGCCAUCAGAGCUACUACAUCUUAAAUAAAGAGAUGGAUCAAAAAAAUCUCCCAACAAGGAAGCUGGUCUCAUAACCUUAGGGAGCCCACUCCCUUAUACAUAUCAAUCAGCCACCACAGGGCAGAGUGCAGCAUGCAGGAUUCAUGCAGCAUGGCUCAAUGCUGGACUAGACUUGUGACUUUUCUCACCUAAGUCUCUGGUAAGAAAGAAGCCUCCCUUUGAAUUCACAAUAAUGACCCUUAAUCUUUUAUGGAUUUGGCAUGAUCUGAGAGAUUGACACAAAAAUUGUGAGUGAUUUCUCUGAGGUACCUAGAAGAAGCAAUGUAAAAACCAUUCUGGAGUGACACUAUUUCAAUACAGGCUAUAAAAAAGAACCUGAUAUAAAGUCUUAGUGAAAAUGAAUUCAUAAUAAAAAAUGUAAAGCUCCCCCAAAAGCAAUCUACUAUGAACAAGAAUUAACAGGUAAACAUACACAUACAAAUGGCAGUGUUAGAUUCCUAAACCCAUUAGAUAAUGACACAAUGCAAUGGAAGCUAUAAAAUAUGUAUUUUAUAAAUAGUGUUUUUAUUUAAAAACAACAUCAGAUUUACAGAAAAAUUGUAACUAUAGUACAGAGAGUUUAAACCCACACACAGUUUCCUUUGUUAUUAACAAUUUGUUAUAAUUAAUGAACCAAUCUUUAUAUAUUAUUACUAUUAGCAUUAUUAAGUCAAGUUGAUACUUGUUCAGAUUCUCUGUUUUUACCUAAUGUCUUUUUGUGUUCCAGGAUCCCACCCAAGAUACCACAUUACAUUUAGUUGUCAUAUCUCCUUAAGCUCCUCUUGGCUGUGACAGUUUCUCAGACUUUCCUUGGUUUUCAUGACCUUGACAGUUUUUUAGAUAUACUGGUCAGGUAUUUUAUAGAAUGUCCCUAAGAUUU
This is a long non-coding RNA of Macaca mulatta (Rhesus monkey), 1887 nucleotides long. Lineage: Eukaryota; Metazoa; Chordata; Mammalia; Primates; Cercopithecidae. The record is from Ensembl.